UGUGUGGAUUGAAGUCAAAGGAACGUAAAGUGCACGUAACCUCUCCAUAAUCCAAAACAGACGUGGAUCGACAUGAUGAUGAGAGGUUUGAAGAAGUGGACUAGAGGAGAGCCGCUCAGCGUUACGUCAGCUGGAGACAAUAAACCGAACGGAGCCAUCCAUCAUGAGCGCUUGAUUCUGCUGACAGCACGUCAAAUCCCAUUGAUCUCCAGGGGAACCUUCAGGAUCGCUGGCGGCACUCUGAUGUGACGAAAAUUCAGAUCCAAGUCCACGGUUUGGUGAAAAAAAAAAAUCAUAAAUUCCCCACAUGCAGUGCUUCGUCACAGAAAUGAUUUGCCUUCGAUCCUUUUAUGGGAUUUUCAAAAUGUCAUUUGAAAUGGAAAGGUGGUGUGCAGUUUGGAAAAACAGCUGUCACGUUCCCUUUUCUCCCCUGGCCUUUGAGUGCAUACCUUCAUAAUGCAUAAAUAACUCUCCUAGGGUUUUAAAGUAUUUUAUUACUGGUCUAAAGUACCACUAUGGCACAAUUCAAAAAAGAGUCUUUCUUUUCCAUCUCAGAAAUCAUAGUUAUUGAAAAGAUAUGUUCAGAGGGGAGAAAAUUGUAUGUCAGAAUGUGUGCGUCAGUGUAAAGACUGGCUCUGCACUUGUUCUCCUAGGUCAUCAAUUUACAUAUGCUUUUUUAAUUGUUUGUAUAUAGGCCAAUACAAAUUACAUUACCAAUUUGAGCUUUUUUAUCUUUUUAAUUAUGUAAAAAUGUUCAUUUGAAGCGUGUGACAUCCAAUCUUCUUUUCCGUAAUUGUUGUGAGGUCCAAAGACAUUUCACAAGCUUUAAGUCUGGUGUGACCUCCCCUUUAAUGUCCUAAAUUGUAUAUCUAUUAACACUGGGUGAGACUCAUGUGCUAUCAGUCUAUUCACACCACAGAGUUGUACAGGUUUCUGUAUGAAUGAUGUUGAGACACAGUGAUCUAAUUGAGAAAUAAUCACCUAAAGAGUUCCAGACAUUUUUAGAUCUGCUUUGGACUCAUUAAUGGUCGAGAUUUGUAACACCUGCUUAGGAAAAGUGCUGUGUCAAGAAAAGAAGAUUAAAGCCAAGAGUGCUUUAUUUCUCAGCAAGAAAAUGUCUGCACACACACACACACACACUCGCAAACACAUACCCUUGAGGCCCUGCCCAUUAUCUGUCUGACGUGUAAAAUGUUCCUUGCAGCGAUCGAUGAAGAUCAGGUCCAAGGAAUUGAUAACCUUAUAAAGCCUGUAAUUACUUUCCUUCCUCGGCAACGAGCAAUAAAGUUUUUAUUAUGGAUCUCUCCGCUCACUUCGCGAGUCUUAGACAGUGAGGGAUGUUAGAAAUUAAAACUCACAGACUGUGAUUGUUUCACCGACUGAAAAUGCACGGAUACAGUUGAUUGAAAGUGAACUUCGCUGAUGAACAGAAUUUCAAGGGCAACCUGGGCUCCUAUGUCAUUCUCUUCAACGUGGAGGUCUGGGAAGAAACUAAUGUCCCUUCAUUAGCUGUAAAACAGAGCUGCGUUUGAAUGAAUGGAAAUGGCUGGCAGAGGGAUUUCCCAAGACGACAGUAAAAAUGUCACCACAUGAAAAGUCUUCGGUUCACACCUGGCAGGGGCACAUCUUUAUCUGCAAGGCUAAUGUCUUCUUGAAGUUCAUGGAUCCUCCUGAGGUACAGACAGCAGAGGAGAGAUGACUCGAUGUGUUGAAUAUCUGAUGCCUUCCUCUUUUCCCGCUGUGGCCAUUACUCACCUCCUCGGAGAUGAUUGCAGAAGCCACAACAGACGCAAAAGAGACUGACACAGAGACGCUGUAAAGGAAAUCAUUCAAGUGAGGACAGAAGCAAAACUGUGAAAAGAACUUGACAGUAAUAUUCUUCAGAAUGACUCGUUUUAUGUUCCAUGGUAAAAUUAUAACAGCAAAUGGGUUUGUAAUGAAGUGAGGGUGAGUAAAUGAUGGCAGAUUUCAUUUUUGUAUGAGCUACCUUUAAUUGGCAUGAAAAUGGUUACUAAAAAUAUGCUUAAUUUUCUUUUGUUCUUUUUGAUUUCAGGAUGAUUUGUGACCUGGGUUUGUUUUUGUGAGAUUCACAACUUCAUUAAUGGGUUUCGAUCAGAACUGUGUUUCCUAUAAAAUGAGAAGAAAAAAAAUCAAAGGCAACAAAAUGUAUUUGUACUCAUUACAACCAUCUCGCUGUGAAAGACCAGCGCUGAUCCCUGAGAUGUCAAUUAUGAUCAUCUCCCUUUCAUAAUGCACAAAAAACAUGAGUCAGGGAUUACAAGGAAGUCAAAAAAAGCGAGAGAGCGCCGACUAUAUGGCCUCUAAAGACUGCAGAGGUUUUAGGAUGUAUAAUAAGCUGUGUCCCUCGCCAUGGCUUUAAUUGGCUCAGUUUCUCUUUUGUGUCAGAUAUCACAAUACCAUGAAUUAAGGGCUGCUUUAUUACCGCCUGCAUCUCCGCCGCACGAGCUCUCCCUGACUAAUUGAAAAGUGGUGGAACAAGGAAAGCAAUUUACUCACCUAGAAAUUACUUUUCAUGAUAACAAUGCCAUUUUUCAAAGCCAGGCGCUCCCAUCCAGUCCUACUUCUUAAGAGUGAACCAUUAUUUGUGUUGGAGGGAAGAGAAAGCCUAUUUGCAUUACAUUACAAGUCCAAUUGGCACCCGGCAAUGAGGAAGAGUAUGGAGGGAAGAAAGUGAGAGAUACAUAUUUCACACUGUCUUGGAAAAAUCUUGCACUUUGUGCUUAAGUUGCGCUGAUACUGUGUUAUUGGGGGGGAAAAAACACUACAUAUAAAUCAUUUUUAAUUUGAUUUUUUUUUGUGUGUGUGUGUGCUACUUCUAUUUAUAUGCAGAAGAAUGGGAAAGGCAGGACUUAGAAAUGUUGCAAGCCAAAUUUAGUCACAUUAGCCAAAUGCGCACCCCAAAAGGUAACGCAAUAACUCACUGUCAUAUUUUUUUAAAUAUUUUAUUUAUGCUUUCCUGCCAUUGACAGAAUUUUCAGACAACUGUUAAACGGUAUAGGGAGCGCUAUUAUGCAUCUUCUGAAAUAGUUCAUAAUCUUCUGAUCCAAAAACUAAUGAAGAAGAAGCAGAAACAAGCGAUAGAAGAUCUUUGUAAGCUAUAAUGCCAUCAUCAAACAUUAAACAGCAUCAAAACUGCCUAAUUUUACCGAAUUUUUACCGGUUUUCUGUUUGAAAAUGGGAAGUAUGUCAAACCUGAGAAAGCAGGGUAGGUCAAGCCUGUUUCUGAAAGAGAGAUAACUUAUACCAGAGAUUAUUUAUAUAGAGACAUGCCACUUCCUCAAUCCUUAAUACAGCUAUAUAGGGAAAACCCGUAACACCAAAGAUGGCAGUUGUAUGCACAUGCCGCACCCCUCCAGCAGGAAAGCCAAUCGUCUGCUUUUAACAGUCAAGCUGGGAAACAUUUAAGCCUAUUGUCCGGUUCCACCAACGCAUGCGCACAGUUGAGGUUUGCGACAGCGGAAACUAUGUUAAUGUUUGAAAAGGCGGCAGAUUUGAUGCAGUGUAUGUGUUAGUUGUGUAAAUAUAAGACAUCCCAAGUUUCCCGGAAGUUCCGUGAGUCUCCCGCAGAUUGAUAGCAGCUCCCUGAUGACCGCAAAUUAGUUCAAAUCUGCCGGAAUCUAGAGCAAAUGAGCAGUAGCGCCCAUGACAGAGAGCGAAUGAACCCUUGCACAUGCAUAGUAAAAGUUUAACCUGUGGGGGAAAAGGCGUUUUAAAC
This is a non-coding RNA of Pimephales promelas (fathead minnow), 3736 nucleotides long. The record is from RefSeq and is a predicted model, not a curated record. NCBI's taxonomy places the organism in Eukaryota, Metazoa, Chordata, Actinopteri, Cypriniformes, Leuciscidae.